AUCCAACUGACGAGUCCCAAAUAGGAUGAGACGCGCAUCCUGGAU
Molecule: non-coding RNA, 45 nt
Filed under: Schistosoma mansoni
Lineage: Eukaryota; Metazoa; Platyhelminthes; Trematoda; Strigeidida; Schistosomatidae
Source: RNAcentral